This 3555-nucleotide small RNA is filed under the name Pongo abelii (Sumatran orangutan). RNAcentral's name for it is "retained intron". The record is from RNAcentral. Lineage: Eukaryota; Metazoa; Chordata; Mammalia; Primates; Hominidae.
AGCAGAGACUUGGGCGGUCCCCAAGUUUUCAAGGUAGAAGCAGCUUAUACUCCAGGCCCCUGGCAUUAGACAGAGCUCCUUGAGGGCAGGACAGGGCAAGGCCUGCUUACCUGGGCCCACCAGUGCCUGGCCCAGAGGAGAGGAACAGAGCUGGGCUUCAGGCCUGCAGCCAGGCUGGGGCAGAGCGAUUGGCCUGGAGCUCUUCCUUUCUGUCCACAUGGCCAUCUGGGGGAGGGGACCCAGAGCCCAUCCUUCUGUCCAGGGUGCAGAACAUGGGUAGGCUGGCAGGUGAGAGGCUCUCUGCCAACCACAGCCCCAGCUCCCGAGUUGGAGGAGCUCACCUGUCCCGCAUCAGCACCUGCUCCCCCUGCCAUCCCUGCGGGGCUUCUCUCUCCCCAGCUUUGGCCUGGCCCCCGCCGCCCCCCUCCAGGUCCACGCGCCACUCAGCCCCAACCAGACAGUGGAGAUCUCCCUGCCUCUCAGCACGGUGGGCUCGGUCAUGAAGAUGGAGCCUCUGAACAACCUCCAGGUGGCCGUGAAGAACAACAUCGAUGUCUUCUACUUCAGCACCUUGUACCCACUGCACAUACUCUUUGUGGAGGAUGGGAAGAUGGACCGGCAGAUGUUCCUGGCCACAUGGAAGGAUAUUCCCAAUGAGAAUGAGGCCCAGUUCCAGAUCAGAGACUGCCCCCUCAAUGCAGAGGCUGCGAGCAGCAAGCUGCAGAGCAGCAACAUCUUCACUGUCGCCAAGAGGAACGUGGAGGGCCAGGACAUGCUCUACCAGUCCCUGAAGCUGACCAACGGCAUCUGGGUGCUGGCGGAGCUGCGGAUCCAGCCGGGCAACCCCAGCUGCACGGUGAGAGCCUUGGCACCCGCCCUGCAGCCUUGGAGCCUCCCCUUCGUCCCGUGCCAGGGGGUGGCCCUGGUGGAGGACGCGGUCCAAGCAUCCCUUCAAGCCUGGCUUGAACUAGAAUCAGUUCGGUCCCUGAGAAGGACCUUUCUAGAAAGCUUCCAAAUCAACCCCAUCAGGUUACCCAGAUAAGACACCAAUUGGGUCUCAGAACAGUGACUUGGACUAGAAGAUUGUGUAAAAUUGGGCCCUGUGAGGUGGUGCGGUUGGUUUGGCACCCCUGACUGGGAAGUGGCAUUGCUGGGCACAGGCCCUGGCCCUGUCCUGUGAGUGCCUGCAUGUCUAGCUGGGAGGACAUUGGUUCCCAGGAGCCUGAACUUCCCAGCCUUUGAGGUAGACCUGUCAGAGAAUGGCUUCCCUGGGGCACACAGUUGUCCUGGAGGCCUGUACCGCUGUUCCAGGGCCCUGGACAGCCCCAAGCUCUGCUUCUCCCCCGCACCCCUGAGUCUCUGGCAGGCAUGGCCCUCCAGACACUGCCCCUCCUGGGCCCUUCUGGCAGCGCUGGUUGGUGGGGGGCUGUGACGUGGCUUCGGUGGUGGUAACUUCCGUCUCCCUGUGUUUGGUUGCUGCAUGUCACCUUCCCUGCUGGUGCCCGUGGUGCAGGACUUAGAGGUUAGCAGAUCGCUUUCUCUUUCCCCGUCCGCCCUCCCCAGCCUUGUCUCCUGUCAUGGCCCACAUGCACCCCCAGUCUCCUGUCUGCACCUCAUCUCUUGGCCUCACCUCACCCAGGGGGCUUCAGCCAGGUGGCCCUGAUUGAGGUGCUGACACCCCACUUCCACACAUUCACAGUGUGCACAGAGCCCUUCCUAGGAGACCUGGAGGGCCCGUGGGCUGCUGCUGACCUACGGAACUCCAUUCUUCCCACUUCCUAACUGCACCCUGCAGAACCAGUGCUUUAGAGUGGAUGGUUGAGGGCUCCUCUCUCCUCUGCCUGUGAUCUCAAGCUCAGGCCCCAGAGCGGAGGCAAAGUCUCUACCGUGCCUGCUUCCUACGCAGGAAACCACGAAUGAGCCCAGCACCCCUCCAGGCUCCCUUCCAGCCCUCCGCACCCCCUCGGGAUUUUCUGUCAGGCUUCAGUCCUGAGGACCCCAGACCUUCAGGGACUCUGGGGGGCCGGGCAGCCCUCAGGGUGGGGGCCGGGCACUCCCUGGCAGCCUCCGGCUCGUGACUCACACUGCUUGCCAGCAGGGCUCUGGUGACUGGGCUGACAGCAGGUGUGUGGGCUGCAAGUAUAUUUGGUCCACACCCGGCUGGCUGCGACAACCGCCCCCUCCGCUUUGCCUCACAUCUGUGGUAGGCGCAGCUGCCGCCAGGCUGUGUGCACUCCACGCUGUCCCGUUGGUUCCUGCUCUCUUCCCCACCCCCUUCCUUCCUGAGAGGAACCCCAGGGAUGAGCGCUCUUUCCCCCGACCCCUCUCUCCCCUGCAGCUGUCCCUGAAGUGUCGAGCGCCAGAGGUGUCCCAGCACGUGUACCAGGCCUAUGAGACCAUCCUCAAGAACUGAGGCCCCGGCCAGCGCCCGCCCCAGCCUUCUGCCCGCCCCAUCGAGGAGGCCCCUCGGGGGGCAGCACAUCUUCCUCCUCGCAGGAGGGACCAGGCGGGGCUCCAGGCCACUCAGUGGGCUCCCUGGUCCUGAUGGCAGAACCCACCCGAUCCCUGGGGUAGGGCACCACCCCCUCCUGGGGUGAGAGCGCAGUGCACUCCCGUGCUCCGGGACACCCCUGCUCCUGUGGCUGUGAUGUGGGGUUAGGUGAGGAGGGGACCAAAGGAAACAGAGCCAGAGCAGCCACAGAAGCUGUGCCUGAAGGGUGAGUGUGGAGCUUGCCCCUCCGGCUCACAGCCCCAGCAGCCCCUGGCUCCUUGGUCUCUCCGGUUGGUGUUAAAGGGCCCUCCACUGCCACCUCUCAUGGGAUGGACCCUGCCAACCUGGCCUGGGUGUGCAGGGAGGGGGUCCCCUUGGUACCAGGAGAGCUGCUCACUUAGGGCCUGGGGCUCAUGGAGCUGUAGGUGCCGGCAGAGGGGCAGAGCUAGGCUGGGAGGAGCCCAGGGCCUGCACCACCCACUUGCAGCCACCAGGCUGGUGCCCUGCAGCUGUGCCAGUUGGGCCACAGCCUCCCGAGUGCUGACCCACGUGGUCAAGACCAGGCAGAAGCUCCCAGAGUCCCUGUCUCGGGCUCCCCCCCGACUGGCAGCUGCACUAUCCCCAACUCCCCACUUCUGCCCCAAGGGUGGUCACUGCCUGUGAUACAUUCCUCAGUGUCGCCUCUGAGCCCAGGCCUCCUGCAACAGAGACCGGGCCGAGAGAUGGGGCUGGGUGAGCGGGUGCGCCUCCUGUUUGGGUUUCUUCGGGGUUUCUCUGUAGUGUCUGCUGCCCUCCUCCUGGCCUCCCAGGUUUCAGUUGUGUCUGACAGAGCAUUAGGUUUUCCUGUUACUGCUGUUUAAUAAUAAAGAAAGAUUCGGCUUUUGGCAAUCACGGACACUUUUUUCCCCUCCACCGAAUGUCAGGAUUGAAAGCUGCCUCUGAGUGGUUGGGGAUGGUUUUCUGACCCUACGGUAACUAGAUCUAAUAUAUAUCAUCAGAAAAUAUAUAUUGUAUGUUUACUCUUAUUUUCAGAAAGAGAAAAUGAAUAAAAAUGAUGACAUCAA